Long non-coding RNA from Dreissena polymorpha, 710 nucleotides. RefSeq lists it as uncharacterized. NCBI's taxonomy places the organism in Eukaryota, Metazoa, Mollusca, Bivalvia, Myida, Dreissenidae. The record is from RefSeq and is a predicted model, not a curated record. The transcript has 4 exons.
CAGUAUCCAUGCCAGCAACCAAAGGAAGACAGCUAUGAAGGAUUGUAAUUGUCAUCAGGAGAUGCUGAACAUUUCUCAGCGCAUGCUUGAGGAGAGCAUAAAGAGAAUGAAGUCUUGCAUGAAAUCAGCUCAUCACUGAAAUUUACUGCUGGAAAGACAUACUUGGACAGCUUGCUGGACCAGACAAAUAUUUAAAAGCGGUGGCAUAGACAAAACAAGUCUAUACAAGAGCACCCCCUUGCGGGUGCAGACCGCUCAUCUAUUUUCUUUCUAAAGAAAAUACUGAGGUUGACUGUUUCAACAUUGUCCAGGAGUUGAAGGAAAAAAAGGUGUGCCACCAACAAACAAGAGGAGAGGCUACCAUUGAAAUUCCAACUGAUGACAAACCGAUUCCACAGGUCAUAAUUGGAUCGGUAAAGGCGGUCGCGACCCAAUCAAUCAUUCAAGAAGGAGACAUGGUACUCUGCGAUGUGGAGCGUUACCAUGAUGAAUGGCCACAAGUUGCACAAGUCUUAAACAUUGAUAGAGACAAAUACAAGAUCCUGUGGUACAAGGGGUCCAUGACAGGGGCAUGGACACCAGCAACCAGGCGUGUAAAAGGAGCCAAAGGAAAAACAGAGACAUAUGAGGACAUUGUGAGUCAAUCUGAAUUAUGGUUUUCAGGUUUCAGAUUGACUCCGGCUGGCAACCUUACAAAAGUCACAAAAGAC